AAACCAGCACCUCAAGUGGUCAGGAGGAUUAUUGGGCCUAAAGCAUCCGUAGCCUGUUCUAUAAGUUUCCGGUUAAAUCCAUUAGCUCAACUAAUGGGCCGCCGAAAAUACUGUAGAACUAGGGAGUGGGAGAGGUAGACGGUAUUCGGUAGGAAGGGGUAAAAUCCUUUGAUCUAUUGAUGACCACCUGUGGCGAAGGCGGUCUACCAGAACACGUUCGACGGUGAGGGAUGAAAGCUGGGGGAGCAAACCGGAUUAGAAACCCGGGUAGUCC
This 274-nucleotide ribosomal RNA is filed under the name uncultured bacterium. RNAcentral describes it as "partial 16S ribosomal RNA". It matches the Rfam family "Archaeal small subunit ribosomal RNA", at positions 473 to 747 of the family's 1478-position model. The record is from RNAcentral.